CGCAAGCCUGACGGAGCAAGACCGCGUGAGGGAGGAAGGCUCUUGGGUUGUAAACCUCUUUUCUCAGGGAAGAAGCUCUGACGGUACCUGAGGAAUAAGCCUCGGCUAACUCCGUGCCAGCAGCCGCGGUAAUACGGAGGAGGCAAGCGUUAUCCGAAAUUAUUGGGCGUAAAGCGUCCGCAGGUGGCGAUUCAAGUCUGCUGUCAAAGCCAGGAGCUCAACUCCUGUCCGGCAGUGGAAACUGAAUGGCUAGAGUGCCGUAGGGGUAGAGGGAAUUCCCGGUGUAGCGGUGAAAUGCGUAGAGAUCGGGAAGAACAUCGGUGGCGAAAGCGCUCUACUGGACGGCAACUGACACUCAGGGACGAAAGCUAGGGGAGCG
This 379-nucleotide ribosomal RNA is filed under the name uncultured cyanobacterium. RNAcentral's name for it is "bacterial SSU rRNA". It matches the Rfam family "Bacterial small subunit ribosomal RNA", at positions 376 to 770 of the family's 1533-position model. The record is from RNAcentral. Lineage: Bacteria; Bacillati; Cyanobacteriota.